RNAcentral lists this microRNA (24 nucleotides) under Ananas comosus (pineapple). RNAcentral's name for it is "microRNA s0450_c58a". The record is from RNAcentral. Lineage: Eukaryota; Viridiplantae; Streptophyta; Magnoliopsida; Poales; Bromeliaceae.
GAAAAUGAACUAUCAUCGUUUAAC